ACAGCCAUAUGACUUUGAAACACCAGUUCCCAUAUGAUCACUGAAGUUAAGCAAUGUCAAGCCUGGUCAGUACCUAAAUAGGUAACCACUUGGGAAUAGAAGGUGUAGA
Non-coding RNA from Acanthosepion pharaonis, 109 nucleotides. The record is from the annotation of a GenBank genome assembly. NCBI's taxonomy places the organism in Eukaryota, Metazoa, Mollusca, Cephalopoda, Sepiida, Sepiidae.